UGGGGAAUUUUGGACAAUGGGCGAAAGCCUGAUCCAGCAAUGCCGCGUGUGUGAAGAAGGCCUUCGGGUUGUAAAGCACUUUUGUCCGGGAAGAAAUCCUUGGCUCUAAUACAGUCGGGGGAUGACGGUACCGGAAGAAUAAGCACCGGCUAACUACGUGCCAGCAGCCGCGGUAAUACGUAGGGUGCAAGCGUUAAUCGGAAUUACUGGGCGUAAAGCGUGCGCAGGCGGUUUGCUAAGACCGAUGUGAAAUCCCCGGGCUCAACCUGGGAACUGCAUUGGUGACUGGCAGGCUAGAGUAUGGCAGAGGGUGGUAGAAUUCCACGUGUAGCAGUGAAAUGCGUAGAGAUGUGGAGGAAUACCGAUGGCGAAGGCAGCCCCCUGGGCCAAUACUGACGCUCAUGCACGAAAGCGUGGGGAGCAAACAGGAUUAGAUACCCUGGUAGUCCACGCCCUAAACGAUGUCAACUAGUUGUUGGGGAUUCAUUUCCUUAGUAACGUAGCUAACGCGUGAAGUUGACCGCCUGGGGGAGUACGGUCGCAAGAUUAAAACUCAAAUGAAUUGACGGGGUCAUAGCUGUUUCCU
This 586-nucleotide ribosomal RNA is filed under the name uncultured bacterium. Its description in RNAcentral is "partial 16S ribosomal RNA". It matches the Rfam family "Bacterial small subunit ribosomal RNA", at positions 355 to 1375 of the family's 1533-position model. The record is from RNAcentral.